GCCAUAGUUUGGUGGUAGAGCAUCUGCUUUGCAUGCAGAAGGUCCCAGGUUCAUUCCCCAAGUAGGGAUG
This 70-nucleotide transfer RNA is filed under the name Podarcis lilfordi (Lilford's wall lizard). RNAcentral describes it as "tRNA.Ala". The record is from RNAcentral. Lineage: Eukaryota; Metazoa; Chordata; Lepidosauria; Squamata; Lacertidae.